Molecule: long non-coding RNA, 367 nt
Organism: Priapulus caudatus
Lineage: Eukaryota; Metazoa; Priapulida; Priapulimorpha; Priapulimorphida; Priapulidae
Exons: 3
Source: RefSeq, a predicted model, not a curated record
GCGUGCUAUCGUGUACAUUUACUGCCGUGUACAACAGUGGAGGAAAACUUCUAAGAUACCAGAAGGUGGAGAUUGUUUAUUAUUCGAGGUUAAACAUGGCUGUGCAGGAUUGGAGCAACCACAGUCUCUUCCAGAUCAUCCAAAUGCGUUUGAUUCCAUGUAUAUUGGUGGAGUGGACAGGCAUGGCAACCGACUGGUUACACGUAUUACACGGCUACCAGACAGAACUGCUGAGGUAUGGCUGAUGUUGAAGCUAGGUGAUGGCCAAUACUACCAUUUUCCUAGCUUCCCUGACACCAGGGUGUACAACUGUGACGGGGAAAGCUUUACUGCCGGAGGAUUGCAACUUGAAGUGCUUAAACCCCUG